Molecule: long non-coding RNA, 1152 nt
Organism: Brassica napus (rape)
Lineage: Eukaryota; Viridiplantae; Streptophyta; Magnoliopsida; Brassicales; Brassicaceae
Exons: 2
Source: RefSeq, a predicted model, not a curated record
UAAGUAGUAUUACAUAUUUCUUUUCUGAGCAACAAGUAGUAUUACAUACAUAAGAUAUUUGUAUAACAUUUUCACCCUGUUGCGGGUCAUUAUCUAGUUAGUGUACUGAACAAGAGAUAUCUCCGCGGGUCAAACAAGGUGGGACUACGGAUACUUACUCAAAUUAUCAGCCCUACAUGCAAACCAAAUGAGCCAAAAUCAGAACCUAAAACCAGAGUAGACAACUUGAAAAUGUGCGUACAAUUUAAGGAUAAUUUUUACUAUAUUUUGAAAAUAAGGAAGCUAGAUUUCACUAUAUUACUUUUUAACAUAUGCUAUGAAAAUUCAAAAUGAUUAUCUUGGCAUGUAAGGCCCAUAAUGUUCGUUAGCCCACUUACAUUCUUAUCGUAGGAAGUUUUCCCGCCAAGUAGCGUAGGUUUCCUAACUGCAGUAAUUACAGAGAAUCAAUCAUAUAAUUCUUUUUGAGAAAGAAUCAGUCAUAUAAUUCUUUUUGAGGGUAAAAUCAAUUAUCAAUCAUAUAAAUAGAUCUCAUAUAAUUGACAUGUACAGAAUAUGGUAAUAACAAUUUUCUUGACAGCUCAUAUGACUUUCAAGUCACUGCAUGUGAUUAAAUUAAGAUUUGAACAAUAUAUUUUCUUUAACCAAAUUUAGAAAAUAACUUAAUUGGUCAAAUAUAUAUAAUAAAUAUCAUUAAUUUGCAUGUAUCGAUAUGGAAGAUCAAUUAAAAUAAAAUAAAAUAGAAAUGGAAAUUUGUGAUUUUCCAAGACUAAAAGUUAUAUAAAUAGAGCUUUUCUACAAGACAUGAAAAGUCAAAGAUAUUUCUCUUGCUAUAUAUUUUAUACAGGAGAAAAAUAUGGCAAACACACAAAAUUUGGUGGUUUUUUUUCUUGUUGUGAUAUUAUCAGCUUCAAUGUUUAACACCAACAUUUUGGUUUCAGGUGGGAAGCACGAGGAUAAAAUCAAGUAUACUUACUGCACUGACACUUUAUGCUCGGACAGCUACUUACCUCAUAUGUGCUUUUUUGAUUGUACUAGUAAAAAGUUUCAAACCGGAACUUGUAUAGUUCCUUCUCCUAAUGCUCCCUUAAGAUGUUGUUGUGGUAACUUGUAGCCAUCAUCUACUUAAUAUAAUAAAAUGGUUUAAGAGCUUCA